UAGCUAUAUGGUUUGCGGCUUUUGAGCCUGUAAUCCAUAAGGAUAAAAUUUAAUAAGCAAUAUUGAUGUAGAAAUAUAUAUAUGUCACAUCAAUAAUCAAGAUUAGGUGUUAUCUUCUUUUACUCAAAGCACUUACGAGCAAAAUGACCCAAUGUGUCAUAAUUGUAACACUUUAUCUUGAUCUUAUCUUUUUUCUCUCCCAAACUGCUUAUCCUUUUUGUUAUAGUUGGUCAUAUUCUUCUUAGGUGUAG
RNAcentral lists this long non-coding RNA (251 nucleotides) under Elaeis guineensis (African oil palm). RNAcentral's name for it is "long non-coding RNA (EGUI_LNC008100)". The record is from RNAcentral. Lineage: Eukaryota; Viridiplantae; Streptophyta; Magnoliopsida; Arecales; Arecaceae.